RNAcentral lists this ribosomal RNA (253 nucleotides) under uncultured bacterium. RNAcentral describes it as "partial 16S ribosomal RNA". It matches the Rfam family "Bacterial small subunit ribosomal RNA", at positions 524 to 776 of the family's 1533-position model. The record is from RNAcentral.
UACGUAGGGGGCAAGCGUUGUCCGGAAUCACUGGGCGUAAAGCGCACGUAGGCGGAUCUUUAAGUCAGGGGUGAAAUCCCAAGGCUCAACCUUGGAACUGCCUUUGAUACUGGGGAUCUCGAGUCCGGAAGAGGUUGGUGGAACUGCGAGUGUAGAGGUGAAAUUCGUAGAUAUUCGCAAGAACACCAGUGGCGAAGGCGGCCAACUGGUCCGGUACUGACGCUGAGGUGCGAAAGCGUGGGGAGCAAACAGG